GACGAACGCUGGCGGCGUGCCUAACACAUGCAAGUCGAGCGAUGAAACUUCCUUCGGGGAGUGGAUUAGCGGCGGACGGGUGAGUAACACGUGGGUAACCUGCCUCAAAGAGGGGGGAUAGCCUCCCGAAAGGGAGAUUAAUACCGCAUAACAUUAUUUUAUGGCAUCAUAAAAUAAUCAAAGGAGCAAUCCGCUUUUGAGAUGGACCCGCGGCGCAUUAGCUAGUUGGUGAGGUAAGGGCUCACCAAGGCGACGAUGCGUAGCCGACCUGAGAGGGUGAUCGGCCACAUUGGAACUGAGACACGGUCCAGACUCCUACGGGAGGCAGCAGUGGGGAAUAUUGCGCAAUGGGGGAAACCCUGACGCAGCAACGCCGCGUGAGUGAUGAAGGUUUUCGGAUCGUAAAACUCUGUCUUUAGGGACGAUAAUGACGGUACCUAAGGAGGAAGCCACGGCUAACUACGUG
Molecule: ribosomal RNA, 466 nt
Filed under: uncultured bacterium
Lineage: Bacteria
Description: bacterial SSU rRNA
Rfam family: Bacterial small subunit ribosomal RNA
Source: RNAcentral